Molecule: ribosomal RNA, 1246 nt
Filed under: Triticum aestivum (bread wheat)
Lineage: Eukaryota; Viridiplantae; Streptophyta; Magnoliopsida; Poales; Poaceae
Description: partial small subunit ribosomal RNA
Source: RNAcentral
UUAUAGGCGGCCGGCUGACAUCGUUACGGGUAAUAACCUCUAACCUCUACGGGACUAUUCACUCGUGCUUUAAGGGGUAACGAUCCCAAAGGGUCGCCUCUAGCACACCUCCGUCUCUUUCCUUCUGCUCGCGCCCCUUGCCAUUUAGUCUUCCGCCGGCGGCGCCGGAGCCACCGCGACGAACCCAGUGACUUCUACCCCUUCUGCCUCUCCCCUCUCUUCGCUUCGUCCCGCCAGCGCCGCCGCGACCUUCAAACUCCCUAACCUCGCGGCCGCUUUCCUCCUCGCGUCGUAGCUGGGUCGGACGACGGACGGCGGCUGCUGGUGUGGAGUCCAGUCCUAGUGAGUGUCCGUUUGGCUUAGAUGUUAAGACCGAAGUUCAAAGGUUUCUGGAACAUGGGUCUUAGAAACUUCUUAGUUUAGUUCCCCUCUCCCCUCUUCUGCAGGGUCGUCGAGGGACUCUUGCUCGCGGGUGAAGGGAUGCAGAACCCCUUCGUCUUCGCGGGGCUUGGGGAGCGACUAAGUUCGCUGCUGAUGAGUUCUUCAAAGGAAGGGAGGGCGUUGUUACUGCGGUUGCCGACGGAUUCAAGUAACUUUUAUACUUCCCCUCGUCGCAUCACCAACGACAAAAGAAACAGCCCACGGAUUAGUACCAACCUGUUACAGCAAGGCAGGGGUUCUCGUGGAUGUCUCUACCGGUACUGUUGCUCUGAUACCACCGGAGUAGGAAUCUACUCUCGUUUGAAUGGUAUUUUACCACACAGCGUUCCCUAACAUUGUGGUUUCCACUUGGUUUACGGGUAGUGACGAAAACGACGGAGUUACGCGUCCCUCGUGGAACAAAAUCAAGGUCCCCUCUAACGGUCCUAGUGACGGGUUGAAACGGUGGGCCUUUUAUUCCUACAAGCGACUAUACAUUAACUAGUGUAGGGAAAAUCAAGGUCUCCUCUAAAGGUCCUAGUGACGGGUUGAAACGGUAGGCCUUUUAUUCCUACAAGAUCGAUUAUACAUAAACUAGUGUAGGGAUGGAUCGACGUCGUAGCAGCGGCUAGAUCCGUAGACACAUCCAGAAGCAUUUCCUACGUUGUACACCGACCCUCUAAGUGGUCGCCACCCUAGACACACCUAGACAAAAGUAAGUACAUAAACUUCUUAAGUUCAACUACAUUCGAGUGUUUUGGAGGUUAAUCUCGUCUACUCUAUGCAAACGUCUAGUAUUUAAGACGUGGGCUAUAGUCACCGCUCG